AUGCGGAGCCCCCGUGGGAGUCGCAGAAAAGGGCCAUUGCCACUUUAAAUGACUCAGGAAGUGAAAGGAUCCCGCCUGACAGGGAAAGGGAAAGUGGAACCGGGGCGGCGGGGGCCGCGGCGCCGUGAUCUCGCCGGGGUACCUAGAGGCCGAGCGGGGUGUGCGGCGUGGGGGCCGACAGGGGCACGGGCCGCCGCGCCGGAAGUGGCCGGGCGGCCCAAGGAAGCACUGCCGGCGCCGAGCUUUCAGCCGGCGGGAAGGCCCUCUUUUCCCUGGCCGGGUGCGGGCUGCAGGGAGCAGGCGGCGCAGCCGCGGCCCGCACGGAAACACCGCACAGCCCAAGUGGGGGCUGCGACUCCCUGGGACAGGACCGGGUGGGGAGGAGGACGUGAGGGGACCGCGAAGGCCAGGAGGCGAGCUCCGAGGCCCCACGACCUGGGCCUCGUCCCCGCACCCACAUGGCCUCCGGAGGGGGCGCGGCCUUGGAGGAGCUGCCGCACGAUGGCACGUGUGACCAGUGCGAGCCCGACGAGGCUCCCGGGGCGGAGGAAGUGUGCCGAGAAUGCGGCUUCUGCUACUGCCGCCGCCACGCAGAGGUGCACAGGCAGAAGUUCCCAGGGCACCACCUGGCAGAGUACGUCCAUGGCGCUGCCCAGGCCUGGACCUCCCGAGUCCAGGAGGAAGGCCAGGGGAAGGAAGGCGUGGAGGCCCAGUUGGGGAAUGAGAGAGAGAUAGAGAGCGAGGCGGGGGAGCAGAGCGAGGAGUCCGAGGAGGACAGUGAGUCCGAAGAAGAGAGCGAGACGGAGGAAGAGAGUGAGGAGGAGAGCGAUGAGGAGAGCGAAGAAGACAGUGAGGAAGAGAUGGAGGAUGAGCAAGAGAGCGAGGCGGAGGAAGACAACCGUGAAGAAGGAGAAUCUGAGGCCGAGGGAGAAACUGAGGCAGAAAGUGAAUUUGACCCAGAAAUAGAAAUGGAAGCAGAGAGAGUGGCCAAGAGGAAGUGUCCGGACCAUGGGCUUGAUUUGAGCACCUAUUGCCAGGAAGAUAAACAGCUCAUCUGUGUCCUGUGUCCGGUCAUUGGGGCUCACCAGGGCCACCAGCUCUCCACCUUAGACGAAGCCUUCGAAGAGCUAAGAAGCAAAGAUUCAGGCGGAUUAAAGGCUGCGAUGAUAGAGUUGGUGGAAAGAUUGAAGUUCAAGAGCUCAGACCCUAAAGUCACUCGGGACCAGAUGAAGGUUUUUAUACAGCAGGAAUUUAAGAAAGUUCAGAAGGUGAUUGCUGAUGAGGAACAGAAGGCCCUUCAUCUAGUGGACAUCCAGGAAGCAAUGGCCACAGCUCAUGUGACUGAGAUACUGGCAGACAUCCAGUCCCACAUGGACAGGUUGAUGACUCAGAUGGCCCAAGCCAAGGAACAACAUGAUACCUCUAACGAAGCAGCUGAGCCAAAGGCAGAGGGUGACGAGGAAGGACCCAGAUGAAGAAAUUAGUAUUAUAAGAGUUUAAGUGAUUAAGCCAUGGUCACAGAGUUACAGAGUGACUCCACCAGGAGUAGAGUCCAGCGGUGCCAGUGAGGAAGAGGACACGUGAAGGCUUGCCGUUCCCGUGGAAAACCAUUCCUUCCCCUCGUGUGUAUGUGACAGCGUGUGCGUGACGGCUUCUGGUCUCUGUGAAAGCUGCCCGGCAACAAACGCCCUUCCACCGGACACGUCCCCUGACCCACAGCAGGCGCAUGUCUCUCCGAGGGGCGACCAGUUCUGUGCUUGCUGACUGUGUGCUUCUCAUGCUCUCGUUGUGUAGGUCCAGGAGCGGCACCCCUUGAUCAGCCAGGAGCAAUUAAGAAGGGUCCUCGAGGUGAUUCCUCUUGGCUGCUUUGAACUUACUCAGGAAAGCCCACCCCUGUAAUACUAGAUACCCACACGGCAUGUCCUCAUCAGGAAGGGUCUGGAAUAAUCUUGAAGGGCAGUCAGAGUAUGUUCCCUACAUGCUAAUCGGACCCCACUUUAUUCACAUGGAAGCAUGAAACAAAGGAGGGCCGAGGAAGGCCGGACACAUGGAAACAGUCUCCAGAAGUCCAAGUGUUCCUUCGUGGAAGUAUGGUUUCGUGAAACAAGAUGGAUGACAAGAUGGAGUUGGAGAAAGAGUUAAAAUGUAGAAACGUAUGGAGAUAUUUUUAGUACACCAGGUUAUGCAGGACUUCAGAUUCAUAAUUUAGUGCUGUGGAAAUGAAGGAAAAAUGAUCGAAGAGCUAGAAAGGAAAUGACCUUAAAAAAAAAAAAGGACCAAAGAGAUCUGAUUAAAAGUUGAAAUCAGUGUUUCUGCACUCAAAUUGCCUAAGCUUCCAAAAUAGUCACUAAAGCGUCUGAUGAAACCUCAAUGAUUUGGGUGAAUUCUGCAGGUUUUCUGAAUCUACUCACAGGAAAGGCUGGGAUAUGUAUUACCAAAUGGGAAUUUUCAGUGUGAGUUUCUGCUCCUCCUCCCCCAGCUUAGCCCCGUCUGGUUUACAUGCAGCGCGGGGAGAAUCCUCGUCACUCGGGACAUGCGGAACGGAGCCCCAAGCUCCGUCUGGGCAGAUAGGACUCCCUGUACUCCAGCUGGAGCCCUCUCCCCAUGGCUCCCGCCACAGGCCAGCCUCCACGUCCUCCGCCCGCCCCACUCUCCUCCGUGGGAGCACGAGCAGAGACACCUCAUGGUUGGACUUCGGGCCUCUCCCCGCUCCCAACUCCCGUUUCCUUACAACCAGGUUUUUUCUGCUCAGAUGAGCAGUGAUGUCCUUGAAAUACCAAACUGCAAGCUAAAAACCCUGCAUCUUCUGGAACAUCAGUUAUACUUAACAAAUAGUUUGGCGUCGGGGGGUGACCUUGUUUCAGAUAAAACAAAGGCAGUUGUGUUAGGAAAUAGAAUGCACGUACACAUCGGUGCAGUUGAGAUAAAACGGGAGACCUCACAGGUAAUUCUUAUUUGCAAGUGGGGGCAUGUGCUCCCUCUGCUCCGCCUCUAGUGGUAUCGGGUGUUUGUUUUUGGGAAGUACAAUUGCAUCUGUGUCCUAGCCGCCUUGGGGCUGCUGCUGACUCAGGGCCUGGCCUGCUCGUCCCUCUGAGGCAGGACCCAGGAGCCUGUUCCGGGGGAAAUCCCUCCCCGCAUCCCGUCCGCCUGCCUGCGACUCCCCUGUACCUAUCACAGAGUGUUAGGGCCAGCCAAUGUGUGUGUGUGUGCGGUAUGGUUUUGAGGCAGAAACAAUACUUACUGUUAGGAAUCCUAUUUAUAUAAUUGCUCAGUUCUGUGCAUGCUGUUAAAUGAUCAUUCCUUUGAUGCCAGGAAGCUACCAGGGAUAUAUACUUCUGGGUUAGGACCAUCCUAGCUCACUAAAUAUGUCAGGGCUUGUUUAUAAAUAUGAGAGGAGUUUGGGCUGUUAAGGAAAAAAAGGUGUUUUUCUCUCGAACUGGUAGCCAGCCAGUGGCUAAGACAAUUCCGGUGCUUUACCUACCUGCCUGCAAAGGCUGGAGAAUCUGGCGUCCCACGAAUUACAACUCCCAACCACAUCCAACAGGGCUGCUCUUACAGGAGACCCAGUGGUCGCUCUGAAAAUACGAAUUUAAACACCAGAAGAUUUAGAAGACUUUAGGAUUCGGAAGCUUGUGUUAUCUUUUCCAAAUAAUUAUUUUUUAAUGUCUAAAUAGUAGCCUUAUCUUAGCAAUGGACAGAUCAUUGGCCUCUCCAUAUCAGAUCACCAGUUAUUACUUUAAAUCAGUGUUUGGGAAACCCAAGCAUUUAUUAAAAUGUGCACCAGCCUGUCUCAAUAAAUGAUCAUAUCCCUCUAGUCCUCAAGGAGAGCACUUUUGCUCUUCCUUAGGAAGGACUUCAGACUUGCUCUGUGGGUGCCUGCUGUCCUCAGCACCUGAGAGACUUUAAACAGGGCGGGGUGGGAGGGGUUGUUAAACACAGCGCAGCAGCCUGCCCAGCUCCCAAGUUCCUGCCGGCAGCAUUUAUCAACGUGAGAACUGGGGUGCUUCCUGCAGCGGCACCAGCUUCCCCCAGAGCCGGGGCUGCUGCUCAGCCCCACGCCCCAGCACGAUGAGGCCCCCCCUCCUGCGGGUCAGCACAAGCUGUGCUCAAAAGUGCGCCCUGACUGGCUGCAGGCAGUUGCAGAAAUCCCUGGGGUCACGUCAUCAGGGGAGGCAGGUAGCGAAUGUCUUCAGGAUGAAUUGAGUCCCAUCACCAGUCCCUGGCUGCCUUCCAAAUGCUGGGUGUCUGAAGGCCAAGAGGGUUUUUUUUAUUAUUAUUAUUAUUUAUUUGAUGUCAAACUCCAAGAAAUGCUUGGAGUCUCAGCUCUGACAACCAAGAAGGGAAAUGACCUAUAUAGAGGCCUAACUGUGAACCAGGCCCUGGACUAGGCCUCCGUUUCCAGGUGAUAAAACAGAUUUGGAACGGAAGAGUCACUCACCGUGACGUACACAGCCAGGACUUAUCGGAGCAGGAUUUUGAAUCCAGUCCUCUCUAACUCCGUGGCCCGUGGGGCACGUCUAAGUACAGAGGGAGAAAAGGUGCCAGGUUCCCCCACCUCAGUGCGACAAUCCCAUUUUAUGAAUUGUUUCAAAAUUACAUUUCCCAGCUGUAGAUUGGGCUCAAAAAUAGCAUCAAAGUAGCCUUCUUCUUCCACUUUAGCAGAUGCAUUAAGUACACAUGGCAAAGUUCAGACUGCCCCCAGGAGUUGGGGGAGCCUUUCCUUUUUGGUGCCAAACAGCAAAGGUGAAGGGUGUCGGCUCCGUAGCCUUGUUUGAAAAUGUCCGCUGCUACACUGCUGUGGAAAAGGGAGUCUUCAUAUUUUAGUACACGUGGCCGGUUCUGAGCUCUGUGAGGACUCGGAAACCUGAAGUCCAGCGACUCUAGCCUUUCUGGCUGAUACCUGAUAUGUGUACAUAAAUGACAUUUAUAUACAUAUAUGUGCGCACACACACACAGUUUAAGCACUGAAGGAAAUUCAGAGCAGCCCCUCAUUAUUUUUCAGACCACUGCAAAGGUUUCCACCAGCCCUGAUUCCAAGGGUCACCAGAUAAUCGGAGCUUAGGGGCUUACAAAAUGCUAACACGCAGAGCGGCUCCCUGGCAAAGGUUGUCAGACCCGAAGGCACUGAGCCGAGGUGACAGCCCCGAAGGAAAUGCACUCCAGCCCUUCCACCUGCAGGUCGGCUAACAGCACUGGAGAGUGGGACGCCAGGCGUGCUGGUGACCUGAGAGUGACCCGACCACGCCGGGCUGGCCCGCGGGCCCAGCGGCAGCAUCCAUGACCUGUAGUCAUGGCAGGGCCUUGGAGUCCUCCUCCCCACCUGGAAAACGUUCUCCUGCCAGUACCUGAAGUUCCACAUGCACGCACAUAAUGGCUGUUCAGUACGUGCUUUUUUAUAAGGAAGUCAGUUGCAAUGUCUCCCAUGUGCCCAGCACAUCUGGAAUUUUCUAUUUAAAAAACAAAUCUAUUAACAAAUGGAGUCAGCCCAGCCCAGAGGGGAGACCCCUCAUCUCCUUGCCUUUGCCCAGCCGGGUCUCCGGAGCCCCCACCUCAGCCUGCUCCGAGCACUGGAAGGCCCCAGCAGCUCCCGCCCUCUGGGGCCGGCCACGUAAAACAGGACCGUUUGGAACUGAGAGCACACCAGAAACACGCAUCCGAGCAAGAAAAUGGAAAUGAAUUAAGACAGUUGUGAGUAUACUGGUGCAAAAAAAAAAAAAAAGAAAAAGGAAAAAUGCCACAGAGCUGGGCCUGACAUGCCCUUGAGGGGACAAUAGAUGGAUGCUUAGUGGGAGUUAAACCCGAUUAGUCUCUCUGCGGUGACGGGCCGCACUGCCCAGGUGGGGAGGGCCGAGGAACCCGCUGUCCUCUGCCUGCGUUCCUGUGCGGUCAGGCUCCCUCCUCGGUCAUCUUCCCCUUCCACCCUUCCCAUUAAACAAGGGAACACUCCAUCUUUCAAGGGAACUACACGUUUGAGUUAAUGUUUCAGUAUAUCAUCUUCAUACUGUAAAUUAUUUUGUAAGAGAUUUACCGCUAUCCCAGGAUGUUUGGACUCAGCGCCCCUGUGCAUUUGGAAAUCAAUAAACUAUUACUGGAAA
Molecule: RNA transcript, 6095 nt
Organism: Phyllostomus hastatus (greater spear-nosed bat)
Lineage: Eukaryota; Metazoa; Chordata; Mammalia; Chiroptera; Phyllostomidae
Gene: TRIM44
Gene name: tripartite motif containing 44
Exons: 6
Source: RefSeq, a predicted model, not a curated record